GCUACAUGAUGCUUUCAGAGCUGUGAGUUCUUGCUGCUAAGAUGACCUUUAUCACUCUUGACUGAGAGCU
Molecule: small nucleolar RNA, 70 nt
Organism: Budorcas taxicolor (takin)
Lineage: Eukaryota; Metazoa; Chordata; Mammalia; Artiodactyla; Bovidae
Product: small nucleolar RNA SNORD83
Exons: 1
Source: RefSeq, a predicted model, not a curated record